CCCUUAGAUGUCCGGGGCCGCACGCGCGCUACACUGAAGGAAUCAGCGUGGCUUUCUCCCUGACCCGAAAGGGUUGGGAAACCCGUUGAAUCUCCUUCGUGAUAGGGAUUGGGGCUUGAAAUUGUUCCCCAUGAACGAGGAAUUCCCAGUAGGCGCGAGUCAUAAGCUCGCGUUGAUUACGUCCCUGCCCUUUGUACACACCGCCCGUCGCUACUACCGAUUGAACGGUUUAGUGAGGGCCUCGGAUUGGUCUCGGCCCGCUCUUUACCGGGCGGCGCCGUUGGUCGAGAAGACGCUCGAACUUGAUCGUUUAGAGGAAGUAAAAGUCGUAACA
RNAcentral lists this ribosomal RNA (334 nucleotides) under uncultured eukaryote. RNAcentral's name for it is "partial 18S ribosomal RNA". It matches the Rfam family "Eukaryotic small subunit ribosomal RNA", at positions 1470 to 1796 of the family's 1831-position model. The record is from RNAcentral.